GAUGAAGAACGUAGUGAAAUGCGAUACUUGGUGUGAAUUGCAGAAUCCCGUGAACCAUCGAGCCUUUGAACGCAAGUUGCGCCCGAAGCCAUUAGGCCGAGGGCACGCCUGCCUGGGCGUCACACGUCGUUGCCCCCCCAUCUACUCCUUCGGGAUUGCGGGGGGCGGAUGAUGGCCUCCCGUGCGCCUCGUCGCGCGGUUGGCAUAAAUGCCAAGUCCUCGGCGACGCACGCCACGACAAUCGGUGGUUGCGAAACCUCGGUUGCCCGUCGUGUGCGGUCGUCGCGCAUCGAGGGCUCGAAAAAAUUGCCGGGCUCCGGCUCGGCUUUCAACGCGACCCCAGGUCAGGCGGGGUUACCCGCUGAAUUUAAGCAUAUCAAUAAGCGGAGGA
RNAcentral lists this unclassified non-coding RNA (391 nucleotides) under soil metagenome. RNAcentral describes it as "partial contains 5.8S ribosomal RNA, internal transcribed spacer 2, and large subunit ribosomal RNA". The stretch from base 1 to 122 matches the Rfam family "5.8S ribosomal RNA", at positions 35 to 154 of the family's 154-position model. The record is from RNAcentral.